CAUUACAUUACAAAUAUGUGAACCAAACGGUACUAGAUGUAUUUGGCGUGAAGAGGUCGAUGCGACCGCGCGCUCAGCUGCAGUCUGCACACCUCACCGCUCACCUCCUCGUCGGUUCGGUCGGUCGGCUGUGUCGUGUCGCUCUGUGCCACCCCACCAGCCUCCCUCCCCCUCUUCUACUCCUGGAUCGGCCCAGCUUCUUUAAUUCCCUUCCUUCGCCUGGCCGCGACCAGUACCACCCACCGCUCGCUCUCGCUCCCAGGCCUCCUGCCGCCCGGCCCGCGCCGCGCCAUGGAAGAGCCGCCGCCGGGGAGCAGCAAGGCCGCCGCGGCGCGCGCGCCCCGGGUGGUGGGCGUGCUGGCGGGGCUGCUGGAGCGCGCGGCGGAGCGCGGCGACACGGCGACGCCGACGCUGGCGGACUCGGCGUUCCGGGGCCGCGCGCUGCCGGGGAUCCCCGUGCGGCGGUACGCGGAGCGGAUAUACCGGUACGCCGGGUGCAGCCCGGCCUGCUACGUCCUCGCCUACGUCUACCUCGACCGCCUCGCGCGGGGCCAAUGCGACGCCGGCGCCGGCGAGGACGAGGACGAGGACGAGGCGGCGGUUGUCGGCAUCGACUCGUACACCGUCCACCGCCUCCUCAUCACCUCCGUCUUGGUCGCCGCCAAGUUCAUGGACGACAGGCACCACAACAACGCCUACUUCGCGCGGGUGGGCGGCGUGGAGGUGGCGGAGAUGAACGCGCUGGAGCUGCGCCUCCUCUUCGCCCUGCGCUUCCGCCUCAACGUCGCCCCCGACACCUUCGCGCGGUACUGCGCCGCGCUCGAGUGCCACGUCGACACGCCCGACGCCGGCGGCCCCGUGCCGCGGAUGCCGCCCUCCUCCCACGUCGACGGCGAGGAGGCAGUGACCAGCAGCAAGGGCAAGGUUGCCGCCGCCGGUGGCGGUUCCGUCGUCGUCCAGCGUAGUCACCGUCAGCGGAGAGCCGUGGUACAGAUCAUGACGACGGCCCAAUGACGACGACGGACGGCCUAGGUCGACGUACGGGAG
RNAcentral lists this unclassified non-coding RNA (1047 nucleotides) under Zea mays. RNAcentral describes it as "misc RNA Zm00001eb230830". Lineage: Eukaryota; Viridiplantae; Streptophyta; Magnoliopsida; Poales; Poaceae. The record is from RNAcentral.